Molecule: long non-coding RNA, 196 nt
Organism: Macrobrachium nipponense
Lineage: Eukaryota; Metazoa; Arthropoda; Malacostraca; Decapoda; Palaemonidae
Exons: 3
Source: RefSeq, a predicted model, not a curated record
AUUUUGGCGGCGAGUAUUCCAUGACUGCGUCUGCGGUCCAGUUAUUCUAGUUUAGUUUUUGAGUGAUUAAUGCGUAUAUUUUUGUGUUUUGAGUGUGCACAAUUUUGUGGAAAUGUUAUUGUGUCAAUUAUUACAAAACAGAUUACCUGAUGUGGUCAGCUAUCACUUCAAGGGCUCUUCAUGGGCGUUAGGGUAA